UGCCAGCCGCCGCGGUAAUACGGAGGGGGCUAGCGUUAUUCGGAAUUAUUGGGCGUAAAGGGCGCGUAGGCGGUUUGGUAAGUUCGUUGUGAAAGCCCCCGGCUCAACCGGGGAAUUGCGACGGAUACUGCCAGACUUGAGUCCCGGAGAGGGUGGUGGAAUUCCCAGUGUAGCGGUGAAAUGCGUAGAUAUUGGGAGGAACACCGGUGGCGAAGGCGGCCACCUGGACGGGUACUGACACUGAGGUACGAAAGCGUGGGUAGCAAACAGGAUUAGAUA
RNAcentral lists this ribosomal RNA (279 nucleotides) under uncultured bacterium. RNAcentral's name for it is "partial 16S ribosomal RNA". It matches the Rfam family "Bacterial small subunit ribosomal RNA", at positions 506 to 784 of the family's 1533-position model. The record is from RNAcentral.